UCCCUGAUGAUCCAGUGGUUAGAACUUGGUGCUUUCACUGCCAUGGCCUAGGUUCAAUCCCUGGUCAGGGAA
Molecule: non-coding RNA, 72 nt
Organism: Bubalus bubalis (water buffalo)
Lineage: Eukaryota; Metazoa; Chordata; Mammalia; Artiodactyla; Bovidae
Source: the annotation of a RefSeq genome assembly